GCUAGGCAUGGUGGUGCGUGCCUGUAGUCCCAGAUACUUAGGCGGCUGAGGCAGGAGGAUUGCUUGAGGCCAGGAGUUCCAGGCUGCAGUGAGCCAUGAUUGUGCCACUGCACUCCAGCCUGGGCAACAGAGCAAGACCUUGUCUCAA
This 148-nucleotide signal recognition particle RNA is filed under the name Homo sapiens (human). RNAcentral describes it as "Metazoan signal recognition particle RNA". It matches the Rfam family "Metazoan signal recognition particle RNA". From Rfam's summary of the family: The signal recognition particle (SRP) is a universally conserved ribonucleoprotein. The record is from Rfam by way of RNAcentral. Lineage: Eukaryota; Metazoa; Chordata; Mammalia; Primates; Hominidae.